UUGGACAUGGGCGCAAGCCUGAUCCAGCCAUGCCGCGUGUGUGAAGAAGGCCUUCGGGUUGUAAAGCACUUUCAGUAGGGAGGAAGAGUUAAGUGUUAAUAGUACUUAACUUUGACGUUACCUACAGAAGAAGCACCGGCUAACUCUGUGCCAGCAGCCGCGGUAAU
This 167-nucleotide ribosomal RNA is filed under the name uncultured freshwater bacterium. RNAcentral's name for it is "partial 16S ribosomal RNA". It matches the Rfam family "Bacterial small subunit ribosomal RNA", at positions 364 to 524 of the family's 1533-position model. The record is from RNAcentral.